GACGGAGGAUGCUAGCGUUGAUCGGAAUCACUGGGCGUAAAGGGCGCGUAGGCGGCUUCAGGUGUCGGAUGUGAAAGCCCGGGGCUCAACCCCGGAGGUGCAUCCGAAACUCUGGGGCUGGAGGCCGGAAGAGGAGGGUGGAAUACCCAGUGUAGAGGUGAAAUUCGUAGAUAUUGGGUGGAACACCGGUGGCGAAAGCGGCUCUCUGGUCCGGUCCUGACGCUGAGGCGCGAAAGCGUGGGGAGCAAACGGG
Molecule: ribosomal RNA, 253 nt
Filed under: uncultured bacterium
Lineage: Bacteria
Description: partial 16S ribosomal RNA
Rfam family: Bacterial small subunit ribosomal RNA
Source: RNAcentral